ACAAUGCUAUUAUGCUUGAAUUUGGGAAGGAAGUGCCGUUUCCCUCAACCUCUGUUGUAAGCAUAUCCGAUGUUAGUGGAGUGACCUGUAAUGGACGUGUUUUCUCGGCUCAGUCGAAAUCCCACGAAAACGUCGUGAAGAGGGAUGUUGUUAGUUCUACCGGUCCCGUGGGGACCUCUUCUUCAAAUCAUUCCAUUCCUGCUGUGAAGGGUGUUGACCUUGUUGUUGUCAAAGCUGAUAAAG
RNAcentral lists this long non-coding RNA (243 nucleotides) under Lathyrus oleraceus (garden pea). Its description in RNAcentral is "Pisum sativum (pea) long non-coding RNA (PSAT_LNC004659)". Lineage: Eukaryota; Viridiplantae; Streptophyta; Magnoliopsida; Fabales; Fabaceae. The record is from RNAcentral.